GACGAACGCUGGCGGCGCGCUUAACACAUGCAAGUCGAGCGAAGCGGCGGACGGGUGAGUACCACGUGAGUAACCUGCCUUAGACAUUGGGAUAGCCUCGGGAAACCGGGAUUAAUACCAAAUGGUCUAGGAUGGACUCGCGUCCCAUUAGCUGGUUGGUGAGGUAACGGCCCACCAAGGCGACGAUGGGUAGCCGGCCUCAGAGGGUGAACGGCAACACUGGAACGGAGAAACGGUCGAAAAUCUACGGGAGGGAGCAGUGGGGAAUAUUGCAAAAUGGAGGGAACUAUGAUGCAGGGAGGCCGGGUGAACGAAGAAGGCUGUCGAGUAGGAAAGUUCUUUUAUAUGGGAAGCGGUACCAUAAGAAAAAGCCCCGGCUAACUACGUGCCAGCAGCCGCGGUAAUAC
RNAcentral lists this ribosomal RNA (407 nucleotides) under uncultured bacterium. Its description in RNAcentral is "partial 16S ribosomal RNA". It matches the Rfam family "Bacterial small subunit ribosomal RNA", at positions 28 to 526 of the family's 1533-position model. The record is from RNAcentral.